GUAGAGAUGGGGUUUUGCCAUGUUGGCCAGGCUGGCCUUGAACUCCUGACCUCAGGUGAUCCGCCUGCUUCGGCCUCCCAAAGUGUCGGGAUUACAGAUGUGAGCCACCGCGUCCAGCCUGUUGAGGUAUUUUGAUGUCCUUUGUGGAAAGGCCUUAUCACCUGGCUGGCACACAGCACUGUGGGAACCUCUGGUGGGGCUGUGUGAGGAAUUAGGGUGACCUUGACUUCAGCCAGGCCAUGUGGGUCUUGACUCUGUCACUUACGGUGUCACCUGGGGAAUCCCUUCCCUUCUUUGGCCUCAGUGUCCUCCUCUGGGAAGUGAGGGUAAAAAGUCUCUCCCUUGUAAGGUUGUUAGAGGGCUCGGCAAGGAGAUGGAUGUGGAGGGGCCUGGGGUGUGGAACAUAGCAUACACUUGGUGGGGCAAGCUAUCAGGGUUAUUUAUUACUUAAAUCAUUUUAAUUGUGGGUCAUAAAAUUUCUGUUUUUCCAGAGGUUUCUCCAGGACGUCACCUGUAUGAGGUACACAGUGUGAUGACACACUCUGUGCUUUUCCUACUUGUGUCCACGGCUCAAGCCUGGAAGAAGCCUUAGGACGUGGGGGAAAUGUCUAACGUGGAGUCCACCUGCUGAGCAGGACCGGGUGUGAAGGAAGAAGCUUUGUUCUGAUUCCUCAUGGCCCAGCCACCCCUCGCCUGAGCUGAGCCUGGCCACAGGGCCCGCCUGCAGGAAGGGCUGGCCCAUGGCUUCACACUGGGCUCAGGCUGCGCUAAGAGCCCCGGGUGAGGACCUCCAAGCCCAGGAAGCCUCAGUUGGCCAAAGUGCUAGAUGCGUGUGGUCUGCUUUCAUCCCCGCUUCCCUCAGAGCUUGCAUUUUCCAAAUUCAAGAGAGGCUCCACCUUCAAGAAGACCGGCCUGUCCCUGUUAUUUAUGUGUCCCCCUACCAUAUCUCCCUUUGUUCUGCAGAGCGGUACGCAUAAAAAGCUUUUGGGGAAGGGGAGAAGUGUGGCUCAGUGACUUGCACAGGAAAUUGGAAAUUGGAUCCCCAGGUCUACCCCCACUCCUCUGACUCAUGCUUAAACAAACCCAACACAUGCCCUGACCUUUGCUCUCUCCCUCUAUUGCAGGCCAUACCUGCCAGCAGCCUGCUCUCCCGGCCAUGCUGCGGUUCACAAAAGUCCAGCAUUUGGCUAGCUUCCUGGGGGAAUGAAUCUUUCAGAGCCAAACUAAUGCUAUGCAUGCAGCUUAUGAUUUUUUUUUUUUUGUCUUCAACAAAGUGAAUACUUACUUUUUUUUUGCUCUUUAAAUUGUCAUCCAUUAUAUUCAUCAACACAGAGAGAUGGAACAUUUGGCAAAAUUAUUUUAAGUAGCACUCCAACCUGUGAUCGUAAUUUCAAAUCAAGGAAUUUGCUGAGCAGCUGUGGGGAAGAACAAAAGGCCUGAGAGUGAUUUAGGGCCUGGGGGAGGGGAGGCGGUGGAGUUGAAGGCCCCAGCCGGUAGCAGAAACAGCUGGGGAGGUAGGUUGUGCACACCCCGUGGGGGAGCCGGCCUUCUCAGCCCUGCCAUCCCAUCCACACGUGCCUCAUCAGAGAGUUUUCGUCUCCUGAACAUACCACAUGCAGCACUUUAAAAUAGAUAAACUAAGAGGAUUCAGAUUCAGUUUGAUACCCUCGCUGAGAGCUUCGGCUCGGGAGUUGGACAGGCCUGGCCUUGAAUCCUGGCUCUGCCUCUCACCAGCCUCAGUUGCAUCAUCUGUAAAAUGGGGCUAAUGUAGCAAUCACUUCGCAGAUAUUACUAUGAGGUUGAGUGUUUAUUUGACCCAGUCACUGGCAUAGAACAAGUGUUCAAAAUACUAUUAUUAUCACCAAUAUGCAGAAAUGUUCAAUGUAUACACUCGGUUUUUGCAACCAAUUUAUUCAAUGAACAUCUAUUGAGCACCUGUUAUGUGUUAGGUGCAGGGCUGGGUGUUGUGUGGGUACAAACACAUAAAGCAUAGGAAUUAAUAUGCUAUUAGAUAAACUAAAAAGACUUCUAUUGACUUAAAAAGUAAUAAUGACUUCUAAGCAUAUUUAAGUAAUUUACGAAAGAGCCUUUCUUUUUUUUAUUUUUGAGAUGGAGUCUUGCUCUGUCUCUCAGGCUGGAGUGUAAUGGUGCUAUCUCAGCUCACUGCAACCUCUGCCUCCCGGGUUCAAGCAAUUCUUGUGCCUCAGCCUCCAGAGUAGCUGGGUUUAUAGGCGCGUGCCACGACGCCCAGCUAAUUUCUGUGUUUUUAGUAGAAACGGGGUUUCACCAUGUUGCUCAGGCUAUCUUGAACUCAUGACCUCAGGUGAUCCACCUGCCUCGGCCUCCCAAAGUGCUGGGAUUACAGGUGUGAGCCAUUGCACCCGGUCAAAAGAGGCUUUCUUAACAGAUGGUCUAUUAGAAGCAAUUUGAAAAGAAAAUAUAGAGUUGAAAAAAAUAAAAGGGAAGCUGCAUUCUUUUUAAUUGUUUUUGAACUUGUUGCUUUUCAACACAGCUAUUAUCUAAAUUAACUUAAUUUCUUAAAAUAAGCCCUGCUUGAUACCCGGGAACCUUCAAUCAACUAAUUUGCAGAUAAUCAGACCUAUUUACAAAUAGUCUGGUUUGUCUGAGUGACUUUCAGUGACACAUGCAUACUCAGAAAGGGUAUCAUUUGCCAGGGAUUAGUCAGUUCUGCUGAAUUACAGUCUUCAGAAUGAGAAGUCAUCUAGUUCAACCUUUCAUCCUUUUAAUAGAAUUUCUGGUGGAUAACAGCUGAGCUUCUCCUCCGACUCUGCUAGGAAUGGAGAACUUACUACUUCAAAACGUAGAUGCUGCCUGGGUUGAGCAGCUCUAAAUGUUCAAGAUGGAAUCAUUAAUAGGAAACUAAUUGAAAAGAAUUUGCAUAGCACGUCUCAAGGACAAAAAUCCCUUCUGUUGUUUUUUCCUUUUGUCUUGGUCUGCAUCUCUGUCAUUUGGUGGUGUUUGGACUGCCUGUCUGUCUUCCCUUUUUACUCCGAGCGGCGGCCUGCCCUCUGCCCCCUGCCCCCAGGGGAACAACAAUGGCCCUGAUCACAAUUGGGUGGCCAAGCAUAUCAUGCCGUGGAAGUUUGGAGCCAACACUCAGUUCCAGUUGCUCCUCUCCUUAUUCUCUAGGGUGGCUCCACUAGGUUCUGCUUUCUCAGAAAACAGCAGUGAACUUUGUUCAGCCGAAACCCUAUUUCCCAAGCUGAUACUUGCUCACUGGCCUCCCCUCCUCCAGCUGCUCCCAACUGCUGACCACUUCUUGAGCGCACUGCUAGCUGCUUCUGCUGUUCCAGCACUUCCUGGAAGGCAGCUGCAAGCAGCCGAGGCAGAUGGAGCCCAAGCCCUGUUGCUUGUGGUCUUGGCUUACUGAGCCUGAAUCCACGACCGGAUCAUUAGAAAAGGGACGGUGUGUGUGCCUACCUUUGAAGCCAGUAGGCCAAAAGAAGGGUGAGCAGGACAGCGCCAUAACACCUAGAGUUACUGUGUUUGGUUCACACUUCUGGUUUCCUGCAGAAUUGCUAGAAUUUUUAAAAAAAGGAAGCAGCAAGUUGAGAGCAACUAAAGUAAAAAGAGAAAAGUGAUACAAAGGGAAAGGUUUAUUUUUGGAGCUCUUAGAUUCUGAAACUCCUUCUGACUCUUUUAUCCUUUUACCUCUCCCUUUCUCCUCACUGGGCUCUUUGUCCUCAUGGGGACUGUGCAUCUCUGGUCUCACUCUAGCUCUGGGUCCCUUAGGCUCUUCUGGUUUUCUGGCUCCUGGAGUGAGCCCUUUCAAUGAGGCCCUCCCUCAAUUUCCCAUCCCUCUUGUUCUUCUGCCAUCCAGACUCAUCACAGCCCAAAUCUGAGACCAGCUGGCUGCACCGCUGGCUACUCAGAGCGGCUGGAGACAGCCAUGCCCUGGGGCGACUUGUUCCAUGGUGAUCUGACUGGUUCAUGCAGGGGUCUCGGACCUCACGGACCUCAUCAGGAGCAUCAAAUGGGGUUUUUUUUGGCCGGAAUGAUAUUUAAAACAAUUUGAUUUAGUUAUGAGCAUUUAAGAAAUAGGAGGUCACCAGAAAAUCCAGAGUUUUAGCUCGGCAAGCAGAGAUGGAGAGCUGGCGGUACCCGGUCUUUACCCAUUCUGGAAGGACCACUGGCUGGAGCUGAGAGGCAGUGGCUUCUCUGACAUGGGGCAUACACUCCAUUUUGCUACCUUCUCUGCAACAACAGAGAGUGUCUUCCUGGACCCCAAACUGAGAAUCAGAUGCCUUUAAUCAACGGGCUUGCUUCCUCCCACUCCCCAGACAACCUGAUUCAUGAGAUGCCUGCCUGUUCCCCGUGGGCAUCUGAGUUUGCAGCCCAUGCUCAGUAGAGUUUAUUCGGCAAUCCUUUUCCUGACCUAUAGCAGACUCCUAGCCCACCACAUUUCUAAUGCAGCUGUUGCAAGUCUUGUCCAGACCUUUCAGACCCUUGAUCUCUCCGGGAGAUUGUGCCUCAUACAUUAUUGAAAAGAUUGAGGCCACACAACAUGUGCUCUAAUGCCUCAGCUUUCUGCCUUUCUGCUUCUAAGGUCUCUGUUCUCUCUCCAUUCCGUCCUCCUUCCCUCCUUUCUGACUCUCUUUUUCUUUUUUUCAUCACUUUUAAAAAUUGUAAAAUAGAAUGUACGUACAGAAAAAGGAGGCCGAGGCAGGAGAAUCACUUGAACCUGGGAGACAGAGGUUGCAGUGAGGCGAGAUCACGCAUUGCACUCCAGCCUGGGCAAUAAGAGUGAAACUCUGUCUCAACAAAAAAGAAAAACAAAAAAGAACCAAAAAAAACCCCCCAAAACCAAAGAUAUACAGUUCAGUGAUUUAUCACAAAGUCAACACCAGUGUCAUUAUCAGCCUGAUCGAGAACUAGAACUCUGCCCUCCCUCACCCUGGACGUACUCUUCAUUCCCCCGUCCACCUCUACCCUCCCUCCCUAUCAGAGGCGACCAUUAUCCUGACUUUUUAUGUAAAGCAUCUUUGUUUAUCUUUACCACCUAAAUAUAUAUAUAAACAGAUGUUUAUAGCAGUUUUAUUCAUAACUGUAAAAACUUGAAAGCAACCAAGAUGUCCUUUAGUAGGUGAAUAGAUAAUAAACUGGGAUACAUUCAGGCAAUGCACCAUUAUUCAGUCCUCAAAAGAAAUGAGCUAUCAAGCCAUGACAUGAUAUGGAAGAACUUUAAAUGCAUAUUACUAAGUGAAAGAAGACAGUCUGAAAAGACUAUAUGCUGUGUGAUUCCAACUAUAUGUCAUUGUGGAAAAGGCAAAACUGCAGAGGCAGUAAAAGGAUCAGUAAUUGGCCGGGCGCAGUGGCUUACAUCUGUAAUCCAAGCACUUGGGGAGGCUGAGGCGGGCGGACCAUGAGGUCAGGAGAUCCAGGCCAUCCUGGCUAACACGGUGAAACUCCGUCUCUACUAAAAAUUCAAAAAAUUAGCUAGGCGUGGUGGCAUGCGCCUGUAGUCCCAGUUACUCGGGAGGCUGAGGCAGGAGAAUCGCUUGAACUCGAGAGGCGGAGGUUUCAGUGAGCCAAGAUGGCGCCACUGCACUCCAGCCUGGGCAACAGAGCAAGACUCCGUCUCACACACACAAAAAAAGAAUCAGUAAUUGCCAGGGAUUAGGGGGAGGGAGGGAUCAAACAGUGCAGCACAGAGGGUUUUUAGCACAGUGAACUACUCUGUAUGAUACUAUCAUGAUGGGCACCUGUCAUUAAACAUUUGUCAAAACUUGUAGAAUGUACAAGACCAAGA
RNAcentral lists this long non-coding RNA (5770 nucleotides) under Homo sapiens (human). RNAcentral describes it as "HSALNT0024332". The record is from RNAcentral. Lineage: Eukaryota; Metazoa; Chordata; Mammalia; Primates; Hominidae.